RNA transcript from Cyprinodon tularosa, 2247 nucleotides. It is a transcript of the gene named piggyBac transposable element-derived protein 3-like, with no coding region annotated. NCBI's taxonomy places the organism in Eukaryota, Metazoa, Chordata, Actinopteri, Cyprinodontiformes, Cyprinodontidae. The record is from RefSeq and is a predicted model, not a curated record. The transcript has 5 exons.
CCCCCCCCCCCCAAAAUCCCCUAAAUGUAAUUUUUUUAACUUGAGAUUUUAAGACUUUUCCUAGAUUGGCCCAGACAAUAGAAAAAGUUCAGUGUUGCUUUUAGUCUCAUUUCCAUGUAAGCUGUACAAAAAAAGGUACAAAGAUGGUCUUCAGGUCAAAAUGACCCGUGAGGCAAAUGGAGUUGAAAUCAAGGUCACAGAGUUAUUUACAAACCAUAAAAUGUUACAAAGUUUUAGUUGUGUCUCAGAUCAAUCAGUAGCAGAAGUAAGCAGAGAGUGGAAGGCCAAUUUUCCGAGCCACAAUGCCACUCAAACUCUUUCACACCUACUCAAGACUGAUGCGAUUUGAUGACCGUGAAUCAAGACCAGCAAGAUGUAUGACAGACAAACUUGCAGCCAUAAGAGAGGUAUGGGACAAGUGGGUGGAGCGGUUACCCUACCUCUACAAUCCAGAGCCUGAUGUAACAGUGGAUGAGCAACUGGUUCCAUUUAGAGGUUGUUGUCCUUUCCAGCAGUAUAUGCCCAGCAAGCCAGCAAAAUAUGGGAUCAAGUCAUGGGUGGCUUCCGAAUCAAGCUAUGCUUGGAAAAUGCAAGUCUAUACUGGGAAGUCAACCAGUGGAUGCCCAGAGAAGAACCAGGGGUUGCGAGUUGUGCUUGAUGUGACAGAGGGACUGAGGGGUCACAAUGUGACAUGUGACAAUUUCUUCAACUCUUAUGAACUCGGACAGCAGCUCCUGAAGAGGAAGAUCACCAUGGUUGGUACAGUUCGAAAGAACAAGCCUGAGCUCCCACCUGCACUGCUUGGGUCAAAGGAGAGAGAGGUCUUCUCCUCAAAGUUUGCCUUCACACCCACCACCACUCUAGUUUCCUACCUCCCAAAGAAAAACAAGAAUGUAGUUCUUCUGAGCACACUGCACAAAGACGGCGACACUAGUGACCGUGAGGACAGGAAGCCAAUCAUUAUCCUGGAAUUCAACCGAAACAAAGGAGGUGUGGACAACCUAGAUAAGGUGAUUGGAGCAUAUAGCUGCAGAAGAAUGACUGCCCGCUGGCCCCUGGUCAUCUUCCACAACAUCAUUGAUGUGUCCUCCUACGAUUGCCUUUGUGAUUUGGAUAGAGAUCAACCCAACCUGGAUGUCUCAUAAGCACAACAAGAGGAGGGUGUUCCUGGAGCAGCUAGGAAAGGCACUUGUAACUCCACUCAUUGAAAGAAGGAAGCAUGUCCCCCGCACAGAAGCCUCAGCAGCAGUUGUGAAAGCUAUUCAGAGUGCAGCAGCUCCUGAUCAACCUGAGGAUCCAUCUACCACAGCCACUUCCCCAGCUAAGCCAACUAUAGAAAUUCAAGUGGAGAGGGAAAACUCAAGUAUUCACACAUUUUGUGACCAGAGGAUCACACCUGUUGACAACAAACAAAGGUUUAACUACUGAAUUUUCAGUCAGAAAUGAUCGCACCACCUGGUUGAAGUACCUGUGUCCAUAUGCAAGUCAACAAAGCAGAGAGGAAACACCCGAUUGACAACAUGCGAGUCUCAAUUUCAACCUGUGACUGGGAAGACUACAACCAUCCUGAGCAACGUCUGAUCUCAGCGACUUGUGACUCUCAACCCAGAACAAGAAUCCUUUUAUCACCAUUUUGUCUUCUACAAUAUGUUAUCUCUUAUGUGGACACAUACUGUUUGUUUUGUUUCUGUUUUCCAGAUCUCAGUAAUACCGUGAGGAAACUGGACAGAAAAUAGAAUCAGUUCUUUUUUUAACUUGACUUUUUAAAUAGAAAUUGUUUCUUUAAGUGGAUUACUCGUAAUCUGUAUUUUUGUUUAAUUAGAAAUUAUUUUCUUUAUAACUUUCUGUAUAGAAAUGCUUGACAAGUUACACUUCCUUGUGUGUUGUACUAUAAUUUGUAUGGUAAAAUUCUGGUAGGAACAGAGACCAGUAAUUUACCAUAAGUUUUUUUUGGGGGGGAGGGUUUACAAUAAAAUGUCAAUAUAUCAUCCAGUCUGGAUGUGUUUUUCACUCAUGGAGAUAUUAUGCCUCAGUCAGCAUGACCGUAUUUACUACGGCAAAACCACAUUUUAUUUUUUUUUAAAUAUUUUAGGAAGUACGGUAUUUUACCGUAUUUUAAAAAUACGGUAGAAUCCUGCAUUUACAAAAUACGGUAAUAAACUGGCAGCUGUGGUUGCCAGAAUUUUACCGUAUAUUAAAAAUACGGUAAAAUCCUGCAUUUAGCAAAUACGGUAAAAAACUGGCAGC